This 1396-nucleotide ribosomal RNA is filed under the name Shigella flexneri. Its description in RNAcentral is "partial 23S ribosomal RNA". It matches the Rfam family "Bacterial large subunit ribosomal RNA", at positions 55 to 1495 of the family's 2925-position model. Lineage: Bacteria; Pseudomonadati; Pseudomonadota; Gammaproteobacteria; Enterobacterales; Enterobacteriaceae. The record is from RNAcentral.
GACGUGCUAAUCUGCGAUAAGCGUCGGUAAGGUGAUAUGAACCGUUAUAACCGGCGAUUUCCGAAUGGGGAAACCCAGUGUGAUUCGUCACACUAUCAUUAACUGAAUCCAUAGGUUAAUGAGGCGAACCGGGGGAACUGAAACAUCUAAGUACCCCGAGGAAAAGAAAUCAACCGAGAUUCCCCCAGUAGCGGCGAGCGAACGGGGAGCAGCCCAGAGCCUGAAUCAGUGUGUGUGUUAGUGGAAGCGUCUGGAAAGGCGUGCGAUACAGGGUGACAGCCCCGUACACAAAAAUGCACAUACUGUGAGCUCGAUGAGUAGGGCGGGACACGUGGUAUCCUGUCUGAAUAUGGGGGGACCAUCCUCCAAGGCUAAAUACUCCUGACUGACCGAUAGUGAACCAGUACCGUGAGGGAAAGGCGAAAAGAACCCCGGCGAGGGGAGUGAAAAAGAACCUGAAACCGUGUACGUACAAGCAGUGGGAGCACGCUUAGGCGUGUGACUGCGUACCUUUUGUAUAAUGGGUCAGCGACUUAUAUUCUGUAGCAAGGUUAACCGAAUAGGGGAGCCGAAGGGAAACCGAGUCUUAACUGGGCGUUAAGUUGCAGGGUAUAGACCCGAAACCCGGUGAUCUAGCCAUGGGCAGGUUGAAGGUUGGGUAACACUAACUGGAGGACCGAACCGACUAAUGUUGAAAAAUUAGCGGAUGACUUGUGGCUGGGGGUGAAAGGCCAAUCAAACCGGGAGAUAGCUGGUUCUCCCCGAAAGCUAUUUAGGUAGCGCCUCGUGAAUUCAUCUCCGGGGGUAGAGCACUGUUUCGGCAAGGGGGUCAUCCCGACUUACCAACCCGAUGCAAACUGCGAAUACCGGAGAAUGUUAUCACGGGAGACACACGGCGGGUGCUAACGUCCGUCGUGAAGAGGGAAACAACCCAGACCGCCAGCUAAGGUCCCAAAGUCAUGGUUAAGUGGGAAACGAUGUGGGAAGGCCCAGACAGCCAGGAUGUUGGCUUAGAAGCAGCCAUCAUUUAAAGAAAGCGUAAUAGCUCACUGGUCGAGUCGGCCUGCGCGGAAGAUGUAACGGGGCUAAACCAUGCACCGAAGCUGCGGCAGCGACGCUUAUGCGUUGUUGGGUAGGGGAGCGUUCUGUAAGCCUGUGAAGGUGUGCUGUGAGGUAUGCUGGAGGUAUCAGAAGUGCGAAUGCUGACAUAAGUAACGAUAAAGCGGGUGAAAAGCCCGCUCGCCGGAAGACCAAGGGUUCCUGUCCAACGUUAAUCGGGGCAGGGUGAGUCGACCCCUAAGGCGAGGCCGAAAGGCGUAGUCGAUGGGAAACAGGUUAAUAUUCCUGUACUUGGUGUUACUGCGAAGGGGGGACGGAGAAGGCUAUGUUGGCCGGG